Molecule: ribosomal RNA, 460 nt
Filed under: uncultured bacterium
Lineage: Bacteria
Description: partial 16S ribosomal RNA
Rfam family: Bacterial small subunit ribosomal RNA
Source: RNAcentral
CCUACGGGAGGCAGCAGUGAGGAAUAUUGGUCAAUGGACGAGAGUCUGAACCAGCCAAGUAGCGUGAAGGAUGACUGCCCUAUGGGUUGUAAACUUCUUUUAUAAAGGAAUAAAACGAGGCACGUGUGCCUUUUUGCAUGUACUUGAUGAAUAAGGAUCGGCUAACUCCGUGCCAGCAGCCGCGGUAAUACGGAGGAUCCGAGCGUUAUCCGGAUGUAUUGGGUUUAAAGGGAGCGUAGAUGGGUUGUUAAGUCAGUUGUGAAAGUUUGCGGCUCAACCGUAAAAUUGCAAUUGAUACUGGCAGUCUUGAGUACAGUUGAGGUAGGCGGAAUUCGUGGUGUAGCGGUGAAAUGCUUAGAUAUCACGAAGAACCCCGAUUGCGAAGGCAGCUUACUAAACUGUGACUGACAUUGAUGCUCGAAAGUGUGGGUAUCAAACAGGAUUAGAUACCCUGGUAGUC